UAAUUCAUAUGUUAGUUGAGGAAUAACUUCAGGCUGGUCAUAUAGAAUCAAUGCUUAGUCCUUGGAACACCCCCAUCUUUGUUAUUAAGAAAAAGUCAGGUAAUUGGAGGUUACUACAGGAUUUAAGGGUAACAAACCAUGCAAUUCAGCCUAUGGGAUCAUUGCAGCCUGGACUUCCUUCUCCUACAGCAAUUUCUUUAAAUUAUAGCUUAAUGGUAAUAGAUCUAAAAGAUUGUUUUUUUUUUUCUCAAUAAGGUUGCAUACUGAGGAUUGUGAAAAAUUUGCUUUCAG
Molecule: small RNA, 291 nt
Filed under: Marmota monax (woodchuck)
Lineage: Eukaryota; Metazoa; Chordata; Mammalia; Rodentia; Sciuridae
Source: RNAcentral